GACCUGUUGGAGAGAACUACCACCCAGAACUCCUGAGCUUCCAUCUGAGGCUGUAAUAAAUGAGGCCAUAAUUAUCUUCCCUGACAUUCAGAAAGAAUCCCAAGGGAAUUGUAUAUGGCAAGAAAGCAUAUACAUGGAUAUUUAGGAGGCCAGAGUGGCAAAUUACUAGCUGCCCCCAAAUAUUUUUAUCAGCAUCCAACUAGAAACUUCAUUUUCCAGCCUCCAGUAGAAUAUGAAAAAGCUGAGGCUUAAAAGCACAAAGUUACUCCAAAGGAGAGGGAUGAUAGAGUUAAUCGUCUAAACCAGGACACAUCUGAGCAUGAAAGGAGGCAGUCACUGCACAGGAUGCUAGAACAAACGGAAGUGAUUUGCAAUUCCUGGAUGACACCUGAAUUUUACCAAAAGGUUUCAAGGCAACCCUUUAGAAAGUGACCUUUUGCUUUCC
RNAcentral lists this long non-coding RNA (445 nucleotides) under Homo sapiens (human). Its description in RNAcentral is "HSALNT0322077". Lineage: Eukaryota; Metazoa; Chordata; Mammalia; Primates; Hominidae. The record is from RNAcentral.